AGUGGUAUCAACGCAGAGUACAGCUUGGGAGACAGAGCACCGGGUGCUAACGUCCGGACUCAAGAGGGAAACAACCCAGACCGCCAGCUAAGGUCCCAAAGCAUGAUUAAGUGGGAAACGAUGUGGGAAGGCAUAGACAGCCAGGAUGUUGGCUUAGAAGCAGCCAUCAUUUAAAGAAAGCGUAAUAGCUCACUGGUCGAGUCGGCCUGCGCGGAAGAUGUAACGGGGCUAAAUCAUGCACCGAAGCUGCGGUAGCAAACUUGUUUUGCUAGGUAGGGGAGCGUUCUGUAAGUCGCUGAAGGUAGGUUGAGAAGCCUGCUGGAGAUAUCAGAAGUGCGAAUGUUGACAUAAGUAACGAUAAAGGGAGUGAAAAACUCCCUCGCCGGAAGACCAAGGGUUCCUGUCCAACGUUAAUCGGGGCAGGGUAAGUCGACCCCUAAGGCGAGGCCGAAAGGCGUAGUCGAUGGGAAACGGGUUAAUAUUCCCGUACUGCUUAUAACUACGAAGGGGGGACGGAGAAGGCUAGGUGAGCCGGGUGAUGGUUAUCCCGGUAUAAGUGCGUAGGCUGUUGCGGUAGGUAAAUCCGCUGCAACAUUAAGGUUGAGACACGAACAGGAGACUCUAAGGAGUCGAAGGAGCUGAUGCCAUACUUCCAGGAAAAGCCUCUAAGUGAUGGGUUAUAAGCAAUCGUACCCCAAACCGACACAGGUGGUCGGGUAGAGAAUACCAAGGCGCUUGAGAGAACUCGGGUGAAGGAACUAGGCAAAAUGGUACCGUAACUUCGGGAGAAGGUACACUCUUGGCGGUGAAGUCCCUAGCGGAUGGAGCGGCUGGGAGUCUAAGAGACCAGGUGGCUGCAACUGUUUAUUAAAAACACAGCACUGUGCAAAUUCGUAAGAAGACGUAUACGGUGUGACGCCUGCCCGGUGCUGGAAGGUUAAUUGAUGGGGUUAUCCGCAAGGAGAAGCUCUUGAUCGAAGCCCCAGUAAACGGCGGCCGUAACAAUAACGGUCCUAAGGUAGCGAAAUUCCUUGUCGGGUAAGUUCCGACCUGCACGAAUGGCGUAACGACUUCCCCACUGUCUCCAGGAUAUGCUCAGCGAAAUUGAAUUCUCCGUGAAGAUGCGGAGUACCCGCGGUUAGACGGAAAGACCCCGUACUCUGCGUUGAUA
This 1171-nucleotide ribosomal RNA is filed under the name Proasellus ortizi. RNAcentral's name for it is "bacterial LSU rRNA". It matches the Rfam family "Bacterial large subunit ribosomal RNA", at positions 953 to 2108 of the family's 2925-position model. Lineage: Eukaryota; Metazoa; Arthropoda; Malacostraca; Isopoda; Asellidae. The record is from RNAcentral.